GAUUAAGUUAUUAAGGGCGCACGGUGGAUGCCUUGGCACUAGAAGCCGAUGAAGGACGUUACUAACGACGAUAUGCUUUGGGGAGCUGUAAGUAAGCUUUGAUCCAGAGAUUUCCGAAUGGGGAAACCCAGCAUGAGUUAUGUCAUGUUAUCGAUAUGUGAAUACAUAGCAUAUCAGAAGGCACACCCGGAGAACUGAAACAUCUUAGUACCCGGAGGAAGAGAAAGAAAAUUCGAUUCCCUUAGUAGCGGCGAGCGAAACGGGAAGAGCCCAAACCAACAAGCUUGCUUGUUGGGGUUGUAGGACACUCUAUACGGAGUUACAAAGGACGACAUUAGACGAAUCAUCUGGAAAGAUGAAUCAAAGAAGGUAAUAAUCCUGUAGUCGAAAAUGUUGUCUCUCUUGAGUGGAUCCUGAGUACGACGGAGCACGUGAAAUUCCGUCGGAAUCUGGGAGGACCAUCUCCUAAGGCUAAAUACUCUCUAGUGACCGAUAGUGAACCAGUACCGUGAGGGAAAGGUGAAAAGCACCCCGGAAGGGGAGUGAAAUAGA
RNAcentral lists this ribosomal RNA (552 nucleotides) under Staphylococcus aureus. RNAcentral describes it as "partial 23S ribosomal RNA". It matches the Rfam family "Bacterial large subunit ribosomal RNA", at positions 1 to 547 of the family's 2925-position model. Lineage: Bacteria; Bacillati; Bacillota; Bacilli; Caryophanales; Staphylococcaceae. The record is from RNAcentral.